This 111-nucleotide ribosomal RNA is filed under the name Tursiops truncatus (common bottlenose dolphin). The record is from RNAcentral. Lineage: Eukaryota; Metazoa; Chordata; Mammalia; Artiodactyla; Delphinidae.
AUCUACUGCCAAACCAGCCUAGAAGGGCCCGAUCUCGCCGCGAUCGCGGAAGCUAAGUAGGGUCAGGCCUGGUUACCGGAGACCUCUAGGGAAGACCGGGUGCUCUAGGCU